GAUGAAGAACGUAGCGAAAUGCGAUAAGUAAUGCGAAUUGCAGAAUUCAGUGAGUCAUCGAAUCUUUGAACGCACAUUGCGCCCUGUGGUAUUCCGCAGGGCAUGCCUGUUCGAGCGUCAUUUCAACCCUCAAGCUCCGCUUGGUGUUGGGCCCUGCCCCCGCGGCCGGCCCCAAAGACAGUGGCGGCGCCGCUCGGCCCUAAGCGUAGUACAUCUCUCGCUCUAGGACCCGGCGGUGGCCUGCCAGAACCCCCAACUCAUGUGGUUGACCUCGGAUCAGGUAGGGAUACCCGCUGAACUUAAGCAUAUCAAUAAGCGGAGGA
This 323-nucleotide unclassified non-coding RNA is filed under the name soil metagenome. Its description in RNAcentral is "partial contains 5.8S ribosomal RNA, internal transcribed spacer 2, and large subunit ribosomal RNA". The stretch from base 1 to 120 matches the Rfam family "5.8S ribosomal RNA", at positions 35 to 154 of the family's 154-position model. The record is from RNAcentral.